This 230-nucleotide ribosomal RNA is filed under the name uncultured bacterium. RNAcentral describes it as "partial 16S ribosomal RNA". It matches the Rfam family "Bacterial small subunit ribosomal RNA", at positions 118 to 350 of the family's 1533-position model. The record is from RNAcentral.
UGGGCAACCUGCCCUCAGCUCUGGGAUAACUCCGGGAAACCGGGGCUAAUACCGGAUACGACCGUCCCUCGCAUGGGGGUUGGUGGAAAGUUCUUCGGCUGAGGAUGGGCCCGCGGCCUAUCAGCUUGUUGGUGGGGUGAUGGCCUACCAAGGCGACGACGGGUAGCCGGCCUGAGAGGGCGACCGGCCACACUGGGACUGAGACAUGGCCCAGACUCCUACGGGAGGCA